This 956-nucleotide long non-coding RNA is filed under the name Musa acuminata (dwarf banana). Its description in RNAcentral is "long non-coding RNA (MACU_LNC008860)". Lineage: Eukaryota; Viridiplantae; Streptophyta; Magnoliopsida; Zingiberales; Musaceae. The record is from RNAcentral.
CUAUCAAAUUCUAUCUGUUCUUUAUUAAGGAUUGAGUUGAGAAAGAAAAGAGACCGGGCAGCGUCCUGUGUGAACCUUUAUUGCAUUCUUUUCUUCAAUGAGACAAGUAAGCUCCGUUAAGCGAAGUUGUGCAAAGGAUGCUUCUGAUCUUGUGAACUUGCUUGCGCCAACAAAUACAGAUGAAAACAGGAACUAUAAGCUGUUAAGGAAACAAUGACUUAAGGGCACAGGACUAAUACCAACCCGAGUACUCUCCUCUGGCAACUGGCAAUACUGACUUUGCUGGCAAUACUGUAUACUUGUUUUCUUCCUUGACUCUAUUAAAUAGUAUAGUCGUAGCUUGCCUGUUAGCAAUGAUGAACUUCAAGUCGAGUGUCUCACUCCGGCUCAUCUCAUCUCUUUGAACUCCGUUAGUGCUUCCUUUCCAGUGUCAUCUGUCUUUGUCGGGUUUUGCAAGGGAAGCAGUUAGAUCUGUGGAGCUUCUGUAGAUCUAUAAAAAAGGUAUUUCUUGCCCGCAUCUAGUACUAAGCUCAGAAUGAAGAAUUGUUGCCCUUAUAUUAAGUUGCUAGAUGAGCCUAAUUCCGUUAAUGCCAGCAGCUUGUUGAAAUAAGUGUGCCUUGUUAUGCGUUUGUACUAUUGGGCACUGGACUUGGUAAUUUAUGACUCCUAUACUAUUGGCUGAUAUAGAUAAAGUGGUCGACUCUCCUUCUGAAGCUGAUUGGUAAUAAAACAAGAAAAGUUCUGUUAUAUUGCAUUUGAGCCUACUAAUUGAGUAGCCCGGUAAUCCUGUUCGAGUGAGAGUGUGAGUUUCAUCCGUUCUCCUAUAAUAUAAUAUAAUCGAAAUGGAAAGGGUUUUCUUAUACUUAGUGUCUACUGAGUCGGUAUUGCUACUGUUGCUAAGGAGUCAAAUAAAGACUUGUUGCUACUAUAUGCCUACUGUUGCUGCUGCUAAAGAA